AGAAGCAGCCACCAUUUAAAGAGUGCGUAAUAGCUCACUGGUCGAGAGACGCUGCGCCGAAAAUGUCCGGGGCUCAAGCACGGAACCGAAGCUAUGGCAUGAUAGCAAUAUCAUGGGUAGGGGAGCGUUCUUAUAAGGAAGAAGCAUGACCGGAAGGACAUGUGGACGAAUAAGAAGUGAGAAUGCCGGUAUGAGUAUCGAAAAGAAAGGUGAGAAUCCUUUCCACCGAAAGCCCGAGGGUUCCUGAGCAACGAUCGUCGACUCAGGGUAAGUCGGGACCUAAGCCGAGGCGGAAAGCGUAGGCGAUGGACAACAGGUUGAAAUUCCUGUACCGGAUCAAGUCGAUCGAGCGAAGGAGCGACGCAGGAGGGCACAUGAUCGCGCGGCUGGAAGAGCGCGUCCAAGUGCGUAUGUUGCUGCAGAGGAAAACCCCUGCGGCUAAAAGCAGAGACAUGAUGGGGAGUUAAAGGAAACUUUGACGAACUCAUGGAUCCCACACUGCCAAGAAAAACUUCUAGCGAGACAAGAUCCGCCCGUACCGUAAACCGACACAGGUAGGCGGGGAGAGAAUCCUAAGGUGCGCGGGAAAACCCUCGUUAAGGAACUCGGCAAAUUGCAUCCGUAACCUAGGGAGAAGGAUGGCCCCCGGUCAGUGAAGAGCAGAAACGCUCAGAGCUAAAAGGGGCGGCAGAAAAGAGGCCCAAGCAACUGUUUACCAAAAACACAGGUGCCUGCGAAAGCGAAAGCUGAAGUAUAGGUGCUGACGCCUGCCCGGUGCCGGAAGGUUAAGGAGAGAAGUUAGCGAAAGCGAAGCAUCGAACUGAAGCCCCGGUGAACGGCGGCCGUAACUAUAACGGUCCUAAGGUAGCGAAAUUCCUUGUCGGGUAAGUUCCGACCCGCAUGAAAGGCGUAAUGAUUUGGGCACUGUCUCAACGAGGGGCCCGGUGAAAUUGAAAUACCUGUGAAGAUGCAGGUUACCCGCGACUGGACAGAAAGACCCCAUGGAGCUUCACUGCAGCUUGAGAUUGAAUCCCGGUGACAGAUGCACAGGAUAGGUGGGAGGCGCCGAAGCAUUGCCCUAGGGCGGUGCGGAGCCGAUGUUGGGAUACCACCCUUCUGUUGCUGAGAUUCUAACGCGAGGAGUAACGACCCUGCGGACCCUCUCAGGCAGGCGGUUUGACUGGGGCGGUCGCCUCCGAAAGAGUAACGGAGGCGCCCAAAGGUUCCCUCAGGCCGGACAGAAACCGGCCGAAGAGUGCAAAGGCAGAAGGGAGCUUGACUGCGAGACCAACAAGUCGAGCAGGGACGAAAGUCGGGCUUAGUGAUCCGGUGGUACUGAGUGGAAAGGCCAUCGCUCAACGGAUAAAAGCUACCCUGGGGAUAACAGGCUAAUCUCUCCCAAGAGUUCAUAUCGACGGGGAGGUUUGGCACCUCGAUGUCGGCUCAUCACAUCCUGGGGCUGGAGUAGGUCCCAAGGGUUGGGCUGUUCGCCCAUUAAAGUGGUACGCGAGCUGGGUUCA
RNAcentral lists this ribosomal RNA (1520 nucleotides) under human gut metagenome. Its description in RNAcentral is "bacterial LSU rRNA". It matches the Rfam family "Bacterial large subunit ribosomal RNA", at positions 1108 to 2613 of the family's 2925-position model. The record is from RNAcentral.